Long non-coding RNA from Papaver somniferum (opium poppy), 3037 nucleotides. RefSeq lists it as uncharacterized. Lineage: Eukaryota; Viridiplantae; Streptophyta; Magnoliopsida; Ranunculales; Papaveraceae. The record is from RefSeq and is a predicted model, not a curated record. The transcript is spliced from 5 exons.
AUCACCCCUCAUUCUCUCCCCCAUCACCUUUUUCUGUUCUCUCUUUCUCCUCCUUCCACUACCUCAAACGAGAGAAAUUUUUCUCAUCAAUCUUAGUUUGUCUCCGACGAACAAUUUUUCUCAUCUUCACCUCUACCUCCACCUACACCUCCUUAGUUUUCUCAAUCAACAUUUUUUCAAUUUUUUCUCUGUAAAAAAAAAUAAUUAAAACUAGGGUUUUCAUUAAUCUCUUCAUCAACACUUGAUUUCUAUUUUUUUUUCUCCGAAUCUGGUGUAAAUUAUAUGAAAUAUCGAGCAUUGGGUAUAAAUCUAGGUCUAAUUUUAUUCUUAUAGUGUUGAAAAUCUAGGAUUUCUUUGGUUUCGACUCUAGGGUUUAUCCCUUAUUUUUCUUGUGAUUUUUUUUUGGUACUGGAGAGAUUGAAUUAAUGGAGGAAAUAGGUGGAUCCUCUCUGCCUUCAUCAAGAUCAGCAGGUCAACAAAGUGGAGCUUCCACAGAACAUGAAGAUUGUCGCUAUGCAGACCGACAGUCCCAAUGUGAUAAACUAAGCAUUUCUAUGGUAGAUGCUGCGUAACUACUGGAAAGGGUUUGGUUUGGAGAAUGUUAACAUAAAAACACGAAGGGGUUUUGUUCCGGUUGAUGAGCGAAUGCGAGUAAUUGAUAAGGAUGGCAAGGUUGGAACUAUGUUUACUAAAAUAUACAUAAAAGGUGUUAGUUAAUAAAGCUGUAAAUGCAUCUUUUCGUUCUCGUUUUAAAGUUUCUUAACAUGUAUAAUUUAGCAGUAGUCAAAGAUGUCAGUGCUUCAUUUUAGGUAACUAAUGGAACUCUUUUUUCUUUUCUUGUGUGUUGUGGGCUUGCAUUUCAAACUUGCACUAACAAAAAGCAGGUUUUUAAGCAACUUGAUUUUUCUGUUAUGCAGCGCCAAGAAACAUGCCACCUAUUAUGCUCCUAUCAAAUCAAAUGAAAGUCUGAUUUUCCAUGUUGGUUUUCACCAGUUUGUUGCUAGGUGAUAUCCGUUCAACUAAAUAGAAAAUGUAGUUCGUUUAAAGAUUUCGAUACCUAAGUUAUAAUAAAACUUAUACCCGCACAUGGUUUGAUUGUUUAACUAUAAGUGUUGUUGAUGUUAUGUUUUAAAUCCAUUUUGUUUGAAUUUCUUGCAGCUGGAUUUAAAGUUUGUACAUAAACUCUUAAGGUAUGGUGUUAUGGACCUCCAUACGAGUGGAAACUGGAAAGUCUUCUGGGUAAGAAUCUCAUUUGGUGAAAUUUAUGGUUUCUCUGUGAAGGCUUCUAUUAAUUCUACGUGUUAAUUGCUUGGUACACCGCUGAAUGCGAAGACAAAGUACAGAUUGUGGGAGACGAUCUCUUGGUCACUAGCCCAAAGGCAUGGAACAUCCCAGAAUCUAGAAGAUUACUGACAGCCAAACAAGAGAGAAACAGAAAAAGCUAAUGUAAAACAGUUUCCCAAUUAUGAAUAACUUGGCUACUAUCAACACCCUUGAAUGUAUCCGUAUCGUAACUCCAAAGAACUAGAGAUUUCCUAACCAAAACUAUGACUUCUUCCACAUCUUUUGGCCUACCACCAAAGACUAUAAUUUCGUUCAUUCCACACGUUCCAAAAAAUUGCGAAGUGCAGAAUAUUCCAAACUUGCUUGCACUUGCCAAAAAAGAUGUUAUUAUCCCAAGCUUCAAGUAAUUGCAGUAUCAGAGCACUGGUAUCAGAUUCUAGGGUUGUGGGUAUGAGAAGUUAAGUUGAAGAAGAUGACGAGUUUAAGUUCAAUUAAAGUACCAGUGUUUGAAGGUAAAAACUUUGAACAUUGGAGGUUGCAGAUGGAGAAUAUUUUUACAUAUCAAGAAGUAUGGGAUAUUGUGAGAGAUGGUUAUGUAGAACCACCAGAAGGAGCUGUAGUUGAAGGAGCUGCGCAAACUCUAUUAACUGAAAACAAAAAGAAAAAUUCUAAAGCUACAUAUAUUCUUCAUCAAGGAGUUCAUGAAUCUCUCAUGGACAGAGUUAUUUAUAUUAAGAAAGCAAAAGCAGCAUGGGAUGGUUUGGUUAGCUACUACACAGGGUCUGACAAGGUCAAAAAGGUUAGAUUGCAAACCCUAAAGACAAAGUAUGAACUAUUGCAGAUGGAAAGUACUGAAACAAUAUCAGAUUUUUUCUCAAAGACUUUGAAUCUUGUCAAUGAGAUGAAAGUUAAUGGUGAUACUGUAGAAGAUUCAAAAGUUGUUGAAAAGAUAUUAAAGUUUGCCAGAGAAAUUUGAAUCAAAGGUGACUGCUAUAGAGGAAUGCAACACAGUUGCAACUAUGACUUUUAAUGAGUUAUUGGGCUCAUUAAAAUCCUAUGAACAAAGAUUGCUAGAGAAGACAGUUGCUGCAAAACAAGUUGAAGAAGCACUUCAAAGUCAAGUUAGCUGGAGAAACAACCAAGGAAAACCUAAUGCUGGAAGGUUUCAAUGAAGAUAUAACAAUGGGGAAAGAUCUAAUACUAGAGGUUAUAAAGGAAGAAAACCUGUUGAUAGAUCAAAAGUUCAGUGUUUUAACUGUGGAGAUUUUGGGCAUUUUGCUACAGAGUGUCCAACACCUAGAAAGACUUCUGAAAAUAGUUAUAAAUCAAAUUUCAAACCUAAUAUUGCUUAAAGUCAAGAAGAAAAAGAAGCAGAAGAGCAAAAGGCUGAAAACAUGUUACUAGCAUGUCAUAUGUGUGGAAGAACAACCUCAACUGAAGUGGUAUUUGGAUACAGAUUGUAGCAAUCAUAUGUGUGGCAGAAAAGAUUUAUUUGACAGACUAGAUGAGUUUGUAAGAUUCACAGUGAAGUUUGGUAACAGUUCAACAAUUCUAGUUAUGGGAAAAGGAAGAAUUGGAAUUGUUCUUAAGAAUGAUUCAAAAGAAUAUAUCAUGGAUGUAUUUUAAGUAGCAGGAUUACAUCAAAACUUGCUGAGUAUAGGACAACUAUCUAAAAGAGGAUACUCUAACUACAACAUAACACAGAUUUUUCAAUGAAAAAUAGCGUCACUAAUAUUUGAUUUUGCGUCACAAA